CCUGAUCUCAUUUUCAAUUCCAAUGAAAACCCACUUAUUUAAAAAAUGCACAUUUUAAAACAAUAUAUUGGUAACGUUACGGUCUGCGCCCCCCGCAUUGCGGGAUCUGCGGGGGUGCUAUUUACGCCACUGGAACAGAGCCUUUUAAGGACGAUUGACAACUUGUAGACUAAAAUUUUAUUAGUAUGCAAAAAUAGUGCGGUGCUACGCAACUAAGUUGGCCAUGAAACUAGCAACACAUGAUUUGUAAAUUCAUUUAUAUCGGUAUGCAACCAACAAUACACCAGUUGCUCCACCCGACAUCUACUGUCCGUUCGCGAAUUAAGCGCCCGUUUAUCGUGACGGUGCUCUAAUGGCCACCGCGCCAACUACCUCCCAAAGAAGAAUUCUAUUUUUAACUGUCACAGGAACAGCUGGCCUUCGACGAGAUUUUAUUUUCCAUCACGAACUCGUGCAAAGCAAAAUAACAGUUGUCCAUGGCAGUCGUCUAUCAGCUGCUGAGUAGUGAUGCAAAGAGGGAAUGGCUCCUUCGCUAUUAGUUAACUGAAAGACAACGAAUUUUCGCGAGAUUUCGACUUUGUUUUGUGAGAAGUGCACUCGAACGAAAAUGGAUUACAAAAGCGUAGUUUAUAACGCAGCUAGAGAUGGAAAUUUGAAUAGAUUAAAGUUGUACCUGCACUGUAACAAAGGCAAAGAAGAGGUUUCCAUGCUAGUUGCUGCCAAGACUUCUGGGGCCACCCCUCUGGUAAUUGCUUGCAGAAAUGGACACUACGACGUCGCCGAGUACCUCAUCGAAAAAUGUCACGCCGACAUCGAACAACCCGGUUCAGUGAUGUUCGACGGCGAGACCAUCGAAGGAGCGCCGCCCCUGUGGUGCGCCGCCGCCGCCGGCCACCUCGACAUAGUGAAAUUGUUGAUCUCGCACGGAGCGAAAGUGAACAGUACGACGCGAACGAACUCGACGCCCUUGCGCGCCGCCUGCUUCGACGGCCACCUGGAGAUCGUCAAGUACCUGGUGCAGCACGGCGCCGACAUCGAAGUGGCCAACAGGCACGGCCACUCGUGCCUGAUGAUAGCGUGCUACAAGGGCCACAUUCGGAUCGCCAAAUAUUUGCUUAGUUUAAAGGCUAGUGUUAAUAGGAAAAGUGUUAAAGGCAAUACGGCCCUGCAUGACUGCGCUGAAUCGGGGAGCCUUGAGAUACUUAAAUUAUUAAUAGAAAAUGGGGCGACUAUGGACGUCGAUUCGUACGGGAUGACGCCACUGUUGGCCGCCGCGGUCACCGGACAUAAUCAUAUUGUAGAAUAUUUAAUUAAACUUCCGCAUCUAGUGUCGAAGAAGGAGAAGAUUGAUGCGUUGGAACUGCUAGGAGCUACCUGUGUUGAUAAGAAACGUGAUAUGGUGGGAGCUUUAGAGGUGUGGAAACGCGCGAUGCAUUAUAGAUACCACGGCGAAGGCCCUCCGAUCCUCAAACCCCGCGCCCAGCCCGUCCCCGCCUACGACUACGUCGUCGAAAUCACCGACCCCGACUCCCUCGACGACCUCAUGGCCGACCCCGACGAGAUGCGCAUGCAGGCCCUAGUGAUGCGUGAGCGCAUCCUCGGUCCGGCGCACCCCGACACCAGCUACUACAUCCGCUACCGGGGCGCCGUGUACGCGGACGCCGGCAAGUUCAACCGCUGCAUCGAGCUCUGGAACUACGCCCUCGACAUGCAGCAGUCCAUGCUCGAGCGCCUCAACCCCAUGACCCAGAGCAGCCUCUUCUCCUUCACCGAGCUCUUCUCGUUCAUCAUGGGCGAGGAGGGCAAGCACACCACCCGCGGCCGCCUCGUGCCGCCCGUCGACGUCGUGGAGAUCCUGCGCGUGUUCAAGAAGGCCGUGAAGGAGGUGGAUUUGGGCAGCCAGAUGCUGGAGAAGAUGCCCAACGUUGAGAGAGACAUGACUUACUUGACGCGGGUCCUUGUGAUCACGCUGCACUUGGCGUGCUUGCUGACGCGCAUGCUGGAGCACCACACCACGACGGAGGGGAUCAAGAAGGAGAUCCACAAGGCGGUGUACGACUUGGUGAAGCUGAGGAUUCGGGCGAGGUCGGGGCGGACGGCGCUGCACUUGGCGUGCUGCAGGGACGCGGCGCUGCUGGGGAGGUACCCGGCGUGCCAGUUCCCGUCGGCGCACCUGGCGGAGGUGCUGCUGAGGGUGGGCGCGGACCCUAACGUGAAGGACGACGAGGGGAACACGCCGCUGCACCUCGCCGCCAUGGCGAGGCCGUGUCCGGCUAACAUCACCCAGGUUCUGUUGAAGCACGGGGCCCAUCUAGAUCUAGUGAACAGUAGCGGGGACACUUUCACGAGUUUACUGAAAGGACAGCAAGUGCACGAGUUAGUGAACACGGCCAAGUACACGGGACUGAGUUGUGCCGCAGCGCGUAUUAUCCAGCAGUUCAAAAUCCCGUACAAGGGGAUCGUACCAGCCGCUUUGGAGUCUUUCAUUGCAUGCCACUGAUUUUGUGAUUUUUCUGUUACUGUACAACUAUUUGUCUACACUACAAUUUUAAAAUGCUGAUUUGUUAUUUAGGAGAUUUUGGCAACGAUGGACUCGGGUUUUGGCGACACCUAGCGUGCGCUUGACGAAACUUAAAUACUUCAGGACGAGUUGAGAGUGUAACUGGUUCUUAACUUAGAAAAUUACGCCGUAGGUUACUUGAUUGUUAAUAGAAGAAAAUUUACUCCCAAAAUUUUAACGAAAUUAAGUGAAUUGUUAGUUGCUAAAUGUAAUGAUGAAUUCAGUUAUUUUAAAUAAAUUUAAAUUGUAGGUACAUCCACGAAUGGUACACCAACAAGAUUGCAAGUUCAGGAAUCAGGAUAGAAUUUCAAGCGUAAUUCGUUAGAUGGCGCCAUUUACGUCCAACUGUCAAAAUAUUAUCAAGAUGGAGGCUGUUUUUAAAAUGGAAGGAAAAAAUAAUUUCAAACCAUAGAAUUAGAGGGGACAAAAUGGUAAUCGCAGACACUACUUGCCCCCAUGGAAAGCUAUCUGUUCUUCUGAGAUUUCUGUCACUAUAUUUUGGGUAUCUCUGGUAUUUUAUUUUUUUUAAACAUUUAUAUUAAUCUAGGGACAUCUGGCGUUUUGCCUUUGGAAAAAUCUUGGACACCCUCGAAGUUUUAUUUUUGAAAAAAUUUGAAAGAAUGACAGGGGUUCUUGGUAGUCCGUUUGCGGAAGAAUCUUAGGGGCUUAGAAGUAUGGAAGCUUCCGAUGUUUAGUUAGAGACUACUGAUUUAUUUUUUUUUUUUAUAUAUUUUUUAGUUUGAUAGAAUUGUUUUUG
Zophobas morio is the source of this 3317-nucleotide RNA transcript. It is a transcript of the gene named protein fem-1 homolog CG6966, with no coding region annotated. The transcript is spliced from 6 exons. NCBI's taxonomy places the organism in Eukaryota, Metazoa, Arthropoda, Insecta, Coleoptera, Tenebrionidae. The record is from RefSeq and is a predicted model, not a curated record.